This 68-nucleotide transfer RNA is filed under the name Geckolepis petiti. RNAcentral describes it as "tRNA-Lys". The record is from RNAcentral. Lineage: Eukaryota; Metazoa; Chordata; Lepidosauria; Squamata; Gekkonidae.
CCCCAAGUAGCUUUACUAUACAAGCAUCGGCCUUUUAAGCCGAAGAUGGGCCCCUCUCCCCUUGGGGA